RNAcentral lists this ribosomal RNA (563 nucleotides) under uncultured Alkalibacterium sp. RNAcentral's name for it is "bacterial SSU rRNA". It matches the Rfam family "Bacterial small subunit ribosomal RNA", at positions 28 to 572 of the family's 1533-position model. The record is from RNAcentral. Lineage: Bacteria; Bacillati; Bacillota; Bacilli; Lactobacillales; Carnobacteriaceae.
GACGAACGCUGGCGGUAUGCCUAAUACAUGCAAGKCGAACGCUGAAGCACUCUGCUUGCAGAGUGUAGAUGAGUGGCGAACGGGUGAGUAACACGUGGGGAACCUGCCCAUAAGAGGGGGAUAACAUCCGGAAACGGGUGCUAAUACCGCAUAGGUGAUCAUAGCGCAUGCUUAGAUCAUUAAAGAUGGCUUCGGCUAUCGCUUAUGGAUGGCCCCGCGGCGUAUUAGCUAGUUGGUGAGGUAAUGGCUCACCAAGGCUGUGAUACGUAGCCGACCUGAGAGGGUGAUCGGCCACACUGGAACUGAGACACGGUCCAGACUCCUACGGGAGGCAGCAGUAGGGAAUCUUCCACAAUGGGCGAAAGCCUGAUGGAGCAAUACCGCGUGAGUGAAGAAGGUCUUCGGAUCGUAAAGCUCUGUUGUUAGAGAAGAACAAGAGGUGUAGUAACUGGCACCUCCUUGACGGUAUCUAACCAGAAAGUCACGGCUAACUACGUGCCAGCAGCCGCGGUAAUACGUACGUGACAAGCGUUGUCCGGAUUUAUUGGGCGUAAAGCGAGCGC